CGAACGGUCGCGUAACACGUAGGCAACCUGCCCUAAAGUGGGGGACAACAUUCCGAAAGGGGUGCUAAUACCGCAUAGGAUCAUCUGGUGGCAUCACCGGGUGUUCAAAGCCUUCGGGCGCUUUAGGAUGGGCUUGCGGCCUAUCAGCUAGUUGGUGGGGUAACGGCCUACCAAGGCUUUGACGGGUAGCUGGUCUGAGAGGAUGUCCAGCCGGAUUGGGACUGAGAUACGGCCCAG
RNAcentral lists this ribosomal RNA (237 nucleotides) under uncultured bacterium. RNAcentral describes it as "partial 16S ribosomal RNA". It matches the Rfam family "Bacterial small subunit ribosomal RNA", at positions 99 to 334 of the family's 1533-position model. The record is from RNAcentral.